GACCCAUUGUUAAGUCAAGAUGCUCUUACUCUUUCUUUAUUUCAUAAGAGUGUCUGUUACAACUUUGGAAGAUCAAAAUCCUUCUAUCAACACCCGUUUUGGGCUGUCAGACGGUGAUGUUUUGUUUGAGUUGAGUGUCGUCUGUAUGGUGGCGAUGCUCUUAGUUACGAAACUUACAUCU
RNAcentral lists this small nucleolar RNA (181 nucleotides) under Blastobotrys adeninivorans. RNAcentral describes it as "snR191". It matches the Rfam family "Small nucleolar RNA snR191". The record is from RNAcentral. Lineage: Eukaryota; Fungi; Ascomycota; Dipodascomycetes; Dipodascales; Trichomonascaceae.